RNAcentral lists this ribosomal RNA (518 nucleotides) under Parnassius glacialis tsingtaua. Its description in RNAcentral is "partial 16S rRNA". The stretch from base 391 to 518 matches the Rfam family "Bacterial large subunit ribosomal RNA", at positions 2473 to 2600 of the family's 2925-position model. Lineage: Eukaryota; Metazoa; Arthropoda; Insecta; Lepidoptera; Papilionidae. The record is from RNAcentral.
GUCUUUUUGAAUUAAUAAUUUAAAGUCUAAUCUGCCCACUGAUUAUUAAUUAAAGGGCUGCAGUAUUUUGACUGUACAAAGGUAGCAUAAUCAUUAGUCUCUUAAUUGGUGACUUGUAUGAAAGAUUUGAUGAAAUAUAAACUGUCUCUUUAUAAUUUUUAGAAUUUAAUUUUUUAGUUAAAAAGCUAAAAUAUAUUUAAAAGACGAGAAGACCCUAUAGAGUUUAAUAUUUAAUUUAUAUUAAAAAUUUUUUAUAAAAUUUAUGAUUUUGAUAUAUUUAAAUAUUUUGUUGGGGUGACAAAAAAAUUAAAAUAACUUUUUUUAUAAUUUUACAUUUAUAAAUGAAUAAAUGAUCCGUAAUUUACGAUUAUAAGAAAAAAUUACCUUAGGGAUAACAGCGUAAUUUUUUUUUUUAGUUCAAAUAAGAAAAAAAGUUUGCGACCUCGAUGUUGGAUUAAGAUAAAAUUUAAAUGCAAAAGUUUAAAAUUUUUGAUCUGUUCGAUCAUUAAAAUCUUACA